Molecule: ribosomal RNA, 500 nt
Filed under: uncultured bacterium
Lineage: Bacteria
Description: partial 16S ribosomal RNA
Rfam family: Bacterial small subunit ribosomal RNA
Source: RNAcentral
AUUGAACGCUGGCGGCAUGCCUUACACAUGCAAGUCGAACGGCAGCGCGGACUUCGGUCUGGCGGCGAGUGGCGAACGGGUGAGUAAUGUAUCGGAACGUACCAUUGAGUGGGGGAUAACGUAGCGAAAGUUACGCUAAUACCGCAUAUUCCCUCCGGAGGAAAGCAGGGGACCGCAAGGCCUUGCGCUCUUUGAGCGGCCGAUAUCAGAUUAGCUAGUUGGUGGGGUAAAAGCUCACCAAGGCGACGAUCUGUAGCGGGUCUGAGAGGAUGAUCCGCCACACUGGAACUGAGACACGGUCCAGACUCCUACGGGAGGCAGCAGUGGGGAAUUUUGGACAAUGGGGGCAACCCUGAUCCAGCCAUGCCGCGUGAGUGAAGAAGGCCUUCGGGUUGUAAAGCUCUUUCGGCCGGGAAAAAAUCGCAUGGAUUAAUACUCUGUGUGGAUGAUGGUACCGGAAUAAGAAGCACCGGCUAACUACGUGCCAGCCGCCGCAGUAA